Molecule: long non-coding RNA, 407 nt
Filed under: Homo sapiens (human)
Lineage: Eukaryota; Metazoa; Chordata; Mammalia; Primates; Hominidae
Description: HSALNT0329226
Source: RNAcentral
CCAGAACCUGGCACUAGGAGAUUCCUGGAGAAAGUGAGCCUUCUUGUCUGACUGUCCAGAGAGUGAGAGAAAGUGUGAUGGGUACCAAGUCCACAGGAAGAAGUAAGUUCUUGGAUAGAUCCAGUGCAAGGUCAGUUUGCCUUAGCAGAGCACCAGAGUUCAGCAAAAGAAUGAACAUGUUCUAAUGUCAAGAUCACUCACUUUGGGAGAAGCCAACCACCAUGCCAGUAGAUACUCGAGAUGCCCAACAAAAGUGACCACAUGGUGAGAAACUAAGGCCCCUUACCCAUAACCAGCACUAAUUCGCCAUGUAAGUCACCUUGGAAUUGGAUCCUCCAGCCUUGGUCUAGUCCUCAGAUGACUGCAACCACACACAGCUACCACGUUGACUGCAAUCUCAAAAAAAG